GACGUAGGGGGCCAGCGUUGUUCGGAAUUACUGGGUGUAAAGGGUUCGUAGGCGGUGUGGCAAGUCGGGAGUGAAAUCUCUGGGCUCAACCCAGAGACUGCUUCCGAAACUGCUGUGCUUGAGUGUGAGAGAGGCUCGUGGAAUUGCAGGUGUAGCGGUGAAAUGCGUAGAUAUCUGGAGGAACACCGGUGGCGAAGGCGACAUCCUGGACCGGUAUUGACGCUGAGGCGCGAAAGCCAGGGGAGCAAACGGG
Molecule: ribosomal RNA, 253 nt
Filed under: uncultured bacterium
Lineage: Bacteria
Description: partial 16S ribosomal RNA
Rfam family: Bacterial small subunit ribosomal RNA
Source: RNAcentral